GCCGAAGUGGUGAAAUUGGUAGACACGUCAGACUCAAAAUCUGAUAGAGGCAACUCUGUGUCGGUUCGAGUCCGACCUUCGGCACCA
RNAcentral lists this transfer RNA (87 nucleotides) under Helicobacter sp. 13S00477-4. RNAcentral's name for it is "tRNA-Leu". It matches the Rfam family "tRNA". Rfam says of the family: Transfer RNA (tRNA) molecules are approximately 80 nucleotides in length. The record is from RNAcentral. Lineage: Bacteria; Pseudomonadati; Campylobacterota; Epsilonproteobacteria; Campylobacterales; Helicobacteraceae.